Molecule: ribosomal RNA, 1410 nt
Filed under: Lacibacter cauensis
Lineage: Bacteria; Pseudomonadati; Bacteroidota; Chitinophagia; Chitinophagales; Chitinophagaceae
Description: 16S ribosomal RNA
Rfam family: Bacterial small subunit ribosomal RNA
Source: RNAcentral
CUUAUACAUGCAAGUCGAGGGGCAGCAGCUUUGUAGCAAUACAGGGGCUGGCGACCGGCAAACGGGUGCGGAACACGUACGCAACCUUCCUUUAACUGGGAGAUAGCCCACCGAAAGGUGGAUUAAUAUCCCAUAGUAUAUUUGAGUGGCAUCACUUAGAUAUUAAAGCUCCGGCGGUUAAAGAUGGGCGUGCGUCUGAUUAGGUAGUUGGCGGGGUAACGGCCCACCAAGCCCACGAUCAGUAGCUGAUGUGAGAGCAUGAUCAGCCACACGGGCACUGAGACACGGGCCCGACUCCUACGGGAGGCAGCAGUAAGGAAUAUUGGUCAAUGGACGCAAGUCUGAACCAGCCAUGCCGCGUGGAGGAUGAAGGCCCUCUGGGUUGUAAACUUCUUUUCUUUGGGACGAAACCCCUGUUUCUACGGGGACUGACGGUACCAGAGGAAUAAGCACCGGCUAACUCCGUGCCAGCAGCCGCGGUAAUACGGAGGGUGCAAGCGUUAUCCGGAUUCACUGGGUUUAAAGGGAGCGUAGGUGGGCUUUUAAGUCAGUGGUGAAAUCUUUGGGCUUAACCCGAAAACUGCCAUUGAUACUAUUAGUCUUGAAUUCUCUGGAGGUAAGCGGAAUAUGUCAUGUAGCGGUGAAAUGCUUAGAUAUGACAUAGAACACCCAUUGCGAAGGCAGCUUACUACGGAGACAUUGACACUGAGGCUCGAAAGCGUGGGGAUCAAACAGGAUUAGAUACCCUGGUAGUCCACGCCCUAAACGAUGAUUACUCGACAUUAGCGAUAUUACAGUUAGUGUCUAAGCGAAAGCAUUAAGUAAUCCACCUGGGAAGUACGACCGCAAGGUUGAAACUCAAAGGAAUUGGCGGGGGUCCGCACAAGUGGUGGAGCAUGUGGUUUAAUUCGAUGAUACGCGAGGAACCUUACCUGGGCUAGAAUGCUGGGAGACCGCAGGUGAAAGCCUGUUUUGUAGCAAUACACUGCCAGUAAGGUGCUGCAUGGCUGUCGUCAGCUCGUGCCGUGAGGUGUUGGGUUAAGUCCCGCAACGAGCGCAACCCCUAUCUUUAGUUGCCAUCAGGUAAUGCUGGGAACUCUAAAGAAACUGCCGUCGUAAGACGUGAGGAAGGAGGGGAUGAUGUCAAGUCAUCAUGGCCUUUAUGCCCAGGGCUACACACGUGCUACAAUGGGGGGGACAAAGGGCUGCCACUUAGCGAUAAGGAGCUAAUCCCAAAAACCCUCUCUCAGUUCAGAUUGGAGUCUGCAACUCGACUCCAUGAAGCUGGAAUCACUAGUAAUCGUAUAUCAGCAAUGAUACGGUGAAUACGUUCCCGGACCUUGCACACACCGCCCGUCAAGCCAUGGAAGCUGGGUGUACCUAAAGUCGGUAACCGCAAGGAGCCGCCUA